This is an RNA transcript of Mirounga angustirostris (Northern elephant seal), 3494 nucleotides long. It is a transcript of the gene named tetratricopeptide repeat domain 27, with no coding region annotated. The record is from RefSeq and is a predicted model, not a curated record. NCBI's taxonomy places the organism in Eukaryota, Metazoa, Chordata, Mammalia, Carnivora, Phocidae. The transcript has 23 exons.
GUAGGUCUCCUAGGCGGAAACCAGAGCCGAGUGUGUGUUUUUCCCAGGGUGUCCCGCGCUGCUGUCAUGGCCGCGUCCAAGUGACGAUGUCUGCACAUGGACUUCCAGGUCUGUGGGUGGUAUUCACAGGAUCUGUUGCCUCUAGGUUUCGGCAUCUUUGGACCCUCUUUCUUUCACUUUCUUUUGUUGACUCCGUGUGACCCUCGGAGAACCCCUUUUGGCUGCAGCGAUGUCCAGGGUGCUGUGGAUACCGGAGCUGGCAGUUUUGAGGGGCUUCCCCACUGAGGCUGAGCGGCAGCAAUGGAAGCAGGAGGGAGUCGCCGGUUCAGAGAGUGGAUCUUUCUUACAAUUGCUGCUUGAAGGGAAUUAUGAGGCCAUAUUCUUAAAUUCAUUGACUCAAAAUAUUUUUAACUCAACAACUAUGACUGAAGAAAAGAUGGACAGCUACCUGGAGAAGCAGAUAGUAACAUUCCUGGAUUACUCAACAGAUUUGGACACAACUGAAAGACAACAGCUGAUAUUCCUAAUUGGUGUAAGCAGUUUGCAACUUUUUGUUCAGAGUAACUGGACGGGGCCUCUCGUUGAUUUACAACCUCAGGAUUUUUUGCCAUCUGUUUUAUUCCAGCAAUUCAGUGAGGUCAAAGGACUAGAUGCAGUUGUUCUGAAUCUGCUUGUUCUAGAUGGUGAAUCAGUCUACAGCCUGACCUCAAAGCCUAUUCUGCUCUUAUUAGCGCGAGCUAUUCUAGUGAAUGUGAGACAUAAACUGACGGCUAUUCAGAGCUUGCCGUGGUGGACUUUGAGAUGUGUGAGUGUUCACCAGCAGAUACUGGAGGAGCGCUCCCCGCAGCUCUCUGCUCUUGCUGGAGACUGUAUCGAGGAAGUGAUGAAACUAGAGGAUCUGUUUGUAGGUGCUUCCGGUCAGUAUUUGGCUAUUCAAUUCCAUCUGGAGUGUGCAUAUAUAUUUUUAUAUUAUUAUGAAUAUACAAAAGCAAAAGAUCAGUUCAACAUUGCUAAAGACAUCAGCAAAUUACAAAUUGAUUUGACAGGUGCUUUGGGGAAAAGGACACGGUUCCAGGAAAAUUAUGUGGCACAACUUAUUCUAGAUGUAAGAAGGGAAGGGGAUGCCUUUUCACAUUGUGAAUUCAGUCCAGUACCUACUCCUCAGGAACAUUUAACCAAGAAUCUUGAGCUCAAUGAUGAUACUGUUCUAAAUGAGAUAAAGUUAGCGGAUUGUGAGCAGUUUCAGAUGCCUGACCUGUGUGCUGAAGAGCUUGCUGUUGUCCUUGGAAUCUGCGCAAAUUUCCAAAAGAAUAACCCAGUGCAUAAGUUGACUGAAGAGGAGCUGCUGACAUUUACGUCGGUGUUUCAGUUUUCAUUGGCAGAAGUUCUGCUUCAGUGUGAAUUGAUACUGGCAGCCUGCCUUCUGAGUGUCCGCUCUGAAGCCUCAAGGCCUCUGCAAAUGAAAAAAGGAAAAAGACCCUUCGAGUUUUUGCUUUCACAACCAAAGUUUUGGGCCAUUCAGACAUCAGCCUUGAUCCUCCGGACCAAACUUGACAGAGGAAGCGCACGCCGAGUGGAGCGCGCAAUGAGGCAGACACAGGCUCUUGCAGACCAAUUUGAAGAUAAGACUACAUCUGUAUUGGAACGUCUGAAGAUUUUCUAUUGCUGUCAAGUACCCCCUCACUGGGCCAUUCAGCGCCAACUUGCACGUUUUCUCUUUGAGCUGGGAUGCACGAGUUCAGCCCUUCAGAUAUUUGAGAAGCUAGAAAUGUGGGAAGAUGUUGUCAUUUGUUACGAGAGAGCUGGGCAGCAUGGGAAGGCAGAAGAAAUCCUUAGGCAAGAGCUGGAGAAAAAAGAAACGCCGAGUUUGUACUGCUUGCUUGGAGACGUCCUUCGAGACCACUCUUGCUAUGACCGGGCCUGGGAGCUGUCCCGCCACCGCAGCGCUCGGGCCCAGCGCUCCAAAGGCCUUCUUCAUCUGCGGAACAAGGAGUUCAGAGAAUGCGUGGAGUGCUUUGAGCGCUCAGUGAAAAUCAAUCCCAUGCAGGCCUCAACUAGCCAUAUGGAUCAAGUUUUGUGGAAAUGGCUGGGGGAGGAGGGUGCCUGGGCCGCUUCCUGCGCUGCCUCUGCGGAAGGAUCCGGACAGAUAACAGAGCACCUCACUUCCUUUCCCACCCUGAAGGGUGCCACCAAACCUGUCCUCCGGCUCUCUGCCUUUGUCGUGGGAGUCAGCGAGCAAGUCAGCUGCAUUCUCUUGCCCUUACUGGGGGUGUGGUUUUCUCUUGGCUGUGCCUAUUUGGCCUUGGAAGACUACGGAGGUUCUGCGAAGGCAUUUCAGCGUUGUGUGACUCUAGAACCCGACAAUGCUGAAGCUUGGAACAACUUAUCAACUUCCUAUAUCCGAUUAAAACAAAAAGUAAAAGCUUUUAGAACUUUACAAGAAGCCCUUAAGUGCAACUAUGAACACUGGCAGAUCUGGGAAAACUACAUUCUCACUAGCACUGAUGUUGGGGAAUUUUCAGAAGCCAUUAAAGCCUAUCACAGACUCUUGGACUUACGAGACAAAUACAAAGAUGUUCAGGUCCUUAAAAUUCUGGUCAGGGCAGUGGUUGACGGGAUGACCGAUCGAAGUGGAGAUGUUGCAACUGGCCUCAAAGGGAAGCUGCAGGAGUUACUUGGCAGAGUGACUUCAAGAGUGACGAAUGAUGGAGAAAUCUGGAGGCUGUAUGCCGAAGUGUAUGGAAAUGGGCAGAGCGAAAAGCCUGAUGAAAAUGAAAAGGCGUUCCAGUAUCUCUCUAAGGCAUACAAGUGUGACACACAGUCCAGUUGUUGGGAGAAAGAUAUGACAUCAUUUAAGCAAGUGGUGCAGAGAGCCUUAGGACUCGCACAUGUGGCUAUAAAACACAGUAAAAACAAAUCCAGCCCCCCAGAGGCUAUACAGGUGCUUUCUUCAGUUCGACUCAAUUUACAGGGCCUGUUAUCUAAAGCAAAGUAAUGUAAUGUUUCCUCUAAAAAAAGACUUUUAUUUAAGAAGCUGAUUUCGAAGCCUGGUGACGGGUAUUAAGGAGGGCACGUACUGCACGGAGCACUGGGUGUUAUACGAAAACAAUGGAUCGUGGAUCACCACAUCAAAAACUAAUGAUGUAUUGUAUGGUGACUAACAUAACAUAAUAAAAUUAAAAACUACAAAAAAAAAGCUGAUUUCGAAACAAAUAUUAAGUGGGUAGUAUAUGGAUUUCACAAAGAUUAAGGUCGCAACUUUUUACAGAUGUGUCAAGUGGAGAAAUUUCCAGGGAGUUAGCUGAUGAAAAAGCAGCGAUGGACGCCCUCGUCAUAGAGCUGCAAGGCCUAAGCAACCAGUUUCGAAACCAGUACUGACCAUCCUGGGAAGAGUUUUUGGAAAAGGAGCGCUCACCUUCUGAAUUUCUCUUAUACCUGUGUAUCUGAAACACAAGAUAAUUGAUUUUUUUAAAUAAAUUUCUCUUUAAUGGCUA